Molecule: long non-coding RNA, 3078 nt
Filed under: Heterocephalus glaber (naked mole-rat)
Lineage: Eukaryota; Metazoa; Chordata; Mammalia; Rodentia; Bathyergidae
Description: lncRNA (ENSHGLG00100052136.1)
Source: RNAcentral
ACCCGUCACAGCCAGGGAGGCCCAGGCUGCCGCUCACAGAACAGCUGAGACAUGAAAGUGACCUGAGUCGCCGCCUGUGACCAGUGUGCUGCCACCCUCGGAGGCAUCUGGACAGCCCAUGGGGAGGGGCGCAGGGACCAGGUCUCUUCUUACGCUGUUGGCAGCAAUCCUCAGGUGUGUCUUCACGCCCAGCCAUGCAGGCUCAGCUCAGCUGGACGCUCCAAGGUGACCAUUAGUCACCACACUAGACCACAGGCCUGCCCACCGCGCCCGGCUCACCCUGACCAUUUUCCAGUGUGCAGAUCACAUUUCCGACACUGUUCAAGCACAGCUGCCAUCCGCUUCUGAAAUGUUCCCUCUGCGCCUCCCCACCUCCCGGCCAGGUGGAGCAGGACCCACAGUGCAGCGGCGGUGCAUUCCCUCGGGGGGCGUGGCUGCCCUCCCUGGGCUGACGUUUGCUGUGUGCAGUGCCUCCUCAGACCAUGGGGGCUCCUGGCCUCUGAGGUCACGGCCCGGUGACCCUGUGGGCAGCCUCCAGGCGCCACCUGCAUGGUGGUGCACACCUGUCAUCCCAGCUCGGGGGAGGCUGAGGCAGGAGGAUCCCUGUGAAUUCGAGGCCAGCCUGGGCUACACAGCAAGACCCUGUCUCAGAAAACAAAUGAGCAGAAGAGCUUGUCUUGGGAGCCUGACUACUUUGCUGGCUGGCCUCACCCUCAGCGCACUUGGGCCAGGCGCCUUGGAGCAGGGAGAGCUGGAACCUCUGCCCAGGAUCCACAUUGCCAUUCGCCGGCAGAAUUUCUUCUUCAUCAGGGAAACCUCUUUUGUUCUUUUUUUUUCACCGGGAACUGAACCCAGGGCCUUUGCCCCGAGCUCCAUGUCCAGCCCUCUUUUUUUCUUCUUUUCUUAUUUUGAGAUCUUACUAAGAAGCUAAGUUGCUGGAGCUGGACUCAAACUGGAUCCUCCUGCCUCAGCCUCCCAGAGUGCUGGUACAACAGGCCUGUGCCAUCCCAUCCGGGCCCUUUGUGUUCUUAAGGCCUUGUAACGGCUGGAUGACACCACCCAGACUUCAAGGGUCAACCCUUUGACGGGAGCGGCCGAGCCAGCAUGUGACGAAAACCCACGCCUCGCUUGCACGUGUUGGCAGGGACCCCUGGACACUGUCCUAUCCCUCGGGCUCUGGCACGGCACUGGUGUCAUUGAGAACAGGGGCCGGUGCUGGGCCGGUCGCUGCAAGUCGGGGCUGAGCUGCAGUUGCCUGCUGGAGGGCGGCCACUCCUCGGGCCUCCAGGAAACUGAGAAGCACAGCCCGCCCUCCGAGCAGCCACUUCCACUCAGCACGGCCGCCUCGGCCACUAAGGCUCACAGAGCCUGCAGCACCUGCCCUACCCUCUGGUCACUUCUAUUCUGCAGCUCCUGUCCCUCCUUAAAGGAGAGACUUCAAAACGGCCAGUCCACCCUUGGUUCUUCUGUGUCUGCUUUUUUGUUGUUUUUUUGUUUUUUUGAGACAGGAUCUCGCUGUAUAGCCCAGGCUGGCCUGGAACUCACAGCGACCUCCUGCCUCAGCCUCCCAAGCGUUGAGAUGACAGGCAUGUGCCACCAUGCCCGGCUGUUUCUGCUUCAUUCAGGACCUGUGAGCCCUGCCUACUCCCACAGCUCGGUGAGCCCUUCCUGCCUGUGGCCUGACUCCUGCACCCGCAGUCACGGCACCUGAGGUCCUGCAGGACAUGCUGUCACCUUGUCCUGGGCCACUGCGUUACUCUGUUGUGCAGACAGCUCUGGCCUCAGCUGCCCAGCACAGCUUCCUGUCGCGACUUCCAAGCCUGUGUGGCCCCUGGGUGCAGCUGGCACUCGGGAGGAGAAGGAUGGAGGGGAGCAGAGGGCGAGGGGACCCGGAGCAUGGACGUCGGCCCCACUGGCUUCCGAGGCCAGCAGGGUCUCACUAAGUCACCAACUUCCCCAGGCUGGGGUUGGACUUGCCAUCCUCCUGUCUCAGCCUCCUGAGUGCUGGGAUGACAGAUGUGCGCCACCACGGCCGGCUUCUCAGCCCCCUUCAUGGCCAGCACAAGCUGAGGAGAAAGAAUCCAGUGUCCUCCACCUGGGCAUCACCUCCUGUCCUGGGGCUCCCGUCCUGGCUUAGGCGGCCACCUGGCCCUCCUUCCGCCUCGACCCUGCCCCAAUUGGCCCUGUCCCCACUGCAGCUGCUUUCCUGGGCCAGCCUGGUCUCGGGGUCCCAGCCUGACUCCCCCCAGGGUGCGGCCUCCCCGAGCCCAGGGCUCCAGGGCCUGCAGGGGGAGGGGCCCCAGGAGCAGAAGCCAAGGACGUCAGUAUCCAAGUUCCGGGCCACCCCGGCUGGGGGGAGCAGGACGGCAAGCGCCAUUACACUGCUACCCUCCGCCUCCAGGCUGCUUCCUGCUGCAUGGGGGUUGGGGCGCAGGGCCCAGUGUCCCCUGCUCAGAGCCCCAGCCCUUCCCACUAUCACAUCCUGGUUCUCACACCUGACACUGGGCCUGGCACGGUAAUGAGUGCAAAAGGAACAUUUGUGGGCUUGCUGGUAACACAUACCUAUAAUAGCACUCGGGAGGCUGAGGCAGGAGGAGUUUGAGGCCAGCCUGGACUACAUAGCAAGGCCCUGUCUCAAAAAACAAAAAACAAAAGAUUUGUGGACUUGCUCUCAUCCUCUCCGCAUGGGCUAGGAAGCCCCACUCCCCUCCUCCAAGGGUAAACUGAGGCACAGCUAAGCUCUGCCUAGGCAGCCGAGGUCAGCUGAGCGGAGCCUGAGGCUCAUGUCGGCCUGGGAAGCAGGGCCCAGGGUGCAGAGCUGGGGCUCGGGGCACAGAGGACAGGUGAGGCGCUGAGCCGAUGGGGUCUGACCAGCCUCACCCAUCUGGGGAGACCGAGGCACGCUGACACAUGGAGGCCUCUGAGGUCCUCAGGGUCCCCAGAGCUCACCCUCCCGGCUGGGGACAAGAUGAGGACAGCACCAGGCUCCAGUCUAGAGUCAGGAGGAGGAGAGGCUGGAGGCCCCUGCUGAAGGGGCUGGGAGGCCCCGCGCUGACCGCUGGGGCGGGGACCUCUGCU